GCGUUGGAUUUAAUCAUUGUCUUUGUGAUGGAAUUGGUAGUGCUGAGUUCCUCAACUUGUUCGCUGAAUUAGCUACUGGUAAGCAAAAAUUCACUGAAUUAAAGCGUCAAGUAUGGAAUCGUUAUCUGAUGGAUCCAAACAUUUAUAAUAAGCGCAUUUAUCAACAAAAUCAUCCCGAGUUUAAGAAAGUACCUGAUCUUUGUAACUUUGAUUCUCAAUUUUCUCAACUCGCACCUACUUCAGUUACAUUCAACAGGAGCAGAGUAAACGAAUUGAAGAAAUUAUUAACAUACAGCCAAUCCUCUUGCACUUCGUUUGAAGUACU
RNAcentral lists this long non-coding RNA (325 nucleotides) under Solanum tuberosum (potato). RNAcentral's name for it is "long non-coding RNA (STUB_LNC006381)". Lineage: Eukaryota; Viridiplantae; Streptophyta; Magnoliopsida; Solanales; Solanaceae. The record is from RNAcentral.